This 327-nucleotide long non-coding RNA is filed under the name Androctonus crassicauda. Lineage: Eukaryota; Metazoa; Arthropoda; Arachnida; Scorpiones; Buthidae. The record is from RNAcentral.
UUUUGAGUAACAUUGAUUCUCCAUUUUGAAAAGGUGGAAAAGAUGUAUACUGUUGGCAUACGAGAUAGAUGUCAUUAUCCGAUUUUACACAAUUUGGUACGCAACAGCACAGUUGCGGCAUUUUCCGGUUCUUUAAAAUUUUAAGUGGAAAAAAGUUGACACUUACUAGAGAAUGUUUACGAGAUAAUUUAGAAGAGUCUACGAUAAUACUGGAAUCGGAGGGAGUGAAGUAUGACAGUCCUGUCUGUACAUCCGUUUCUACUUUCCAAUUUGGUUUUAAUUGUUCGGGAUUCUGAUAAGACUUAUAUUGACUGCCAUGUUCUUGAC